AGCAGCCGCGGUAAUUCCAGCUCCAAUAGCGUAUAUUAAAGUUGUUGCAGUUAAAAGCUCGUAGUUGAAUUUCGGGAUUAGUACGCUGGUCGUGCCUUCGGUACGUACUGGUGUUACUGAUUCCUACCUUCUGACGAACCGUCAUGUCAUUAAUUUGAUGUGGCGGGGAAUCAGGACUGUUACUUUGAAAAAUUGAGUGUUUAAAGCAGGCUCGCGCUUGAAUACAUUAGCAUGGAAUAAUGAAAUAGGACGUUCGAUCCUAUUUUGUUGGUUUCUAGGAUUGACGUAAUGAUUAAUAGGGAUAGUUGGGGGCAUUAGUAUUCAAUUGUCAGAGGUGAAAUUCUUGGAUUUAUUGAAGACUAACUACUGCGAAAGCAUUUGCCAAGGAUGUUUUCAUUAAUCAAGAACGAAAGUUAGGGAUCGAAGACGAUCAGAUACCGUCGUAGUCUU
This 450-nucleotide ribosomal RNA is filed under the name uncultured Glomeromycotina. RNAcentral's name for it is "SSU rRNA". It matches the Rfam family "Eukaryotic small subunit ribosomal RNA", at positions 569 to 1027 of the family's 1831-position model. Lineage: Eukaryota; Fungi; Glomeromycota. The record is from RNAcentral.